UUAUUUGAACAUUCUCUUUUAAAAUACUAUAAUAUUUAAUAUUGCAUAUUAACAUUAAAUGGGGCCGGUCUUAUUUCACAUUAGUUGCUCAGCAAAAGGGCCGAAUUCACUUUCACAAACUGGUGCCAGUGAAGUGAAGGACUUUUUUUCCGAAACGAAAUCUUGUUGCACCUGAAAACAUUGCCAAUUCAAUAAACUCGAGUAUUGGUUUAAUAGAAUUUUUUCCACCAAUAACAAAUGUCUUUGUUCAAAAACGUUGAUGAAUAACUUGAAAUGGUGUGAUGUGCUGAAUCAUUCAAGAAAUCGGACAAUGGUAUACUCAAAUAUCAAAAGAUAUAAAUGAAGAAAGAAAAAGAAAAAUCGAAGAAAAUCACGUAACGCGUCGUAGUGUUAUUUAACUUCGAUUAAACGUGUUCUUUUGCAUCGAAUCACCGAGUCGAUUCGCACGAUAUCCAUAGUCAUUUCUUUUCCGGCCAGUCGUGGUAUCAGAACUUUCACGCUCGAAAUGUUGGCCAGCCAUUGCGAAAUCAGAUGAUAUUUACACAACCGUGCCGACUUUUCUCACUCGUUCACUUUAAUAAACACGGGCUAAUUAUCGUAGAAAUUUUAACUAUUAUAACAAUUCUUGCAGGAAGAAUUGCAGUUGGAUUACAUAUCGGAUGGGUCAUUAGUAUUCCUCAAGGUCGUGAUCGUCAGAAUAUAUACCAUACAUGCUACGUCUGUGUAAGAUAGAUCUCGAGAGAGGGUGUAUUUUGCUGGUAUGCGCAUCUUAAUUAAAUACAUUUAUCGUUCAAUGCGUUUCACAAAUAAGAAAUCCGAGUAUGUGAUUUAUUUUUGGAAGAUAAUUUAAUUCGUAUUACAAUGUCGAAUAAAUAAAAAUCUAUUUUACGAAACGAUUUUGCAAGUGGAAAAAUUUUGAUGAGAAAUAUAAAAAAAAAUUUUUUAAAUAGGUUUAUGGGUUGAGUUAUUGCCUUGAUAAAAUAUGGUUAUUAAAGAUUGAGUAAUUG
Molecule: long non-coding RNA, 1007 nt
Organism: Apis dorsata (giant honeybee)
Lineage: Eukaryota; Metazoa; Arthropoda; Insecta; Hymenoptera; Apidae
Exons: 2
Source: RefSeq, a predicted model, not a curated record